GACGAACGCUGGCGGCGUGCUUAACACAUGCAAGUCGAACGGAAAGGCCCUGCUUUUGUGGGGUGCUCGAGUGGCGAACGGGUGAGUAACACGUGAGUAACCUGCCCUUGACUUUUGGAUAACUUCAGGAAACUGGGGCUAAUACCGGAUAGGAGCUCCUGCUGCAUGGUGGGGGUUGGAAAGUUUCGGCGGUUGGGGAUGGACUCGCGGCUUAUCAGCUUGUUGGUGGGGUAGUGGCUUACCAAGGCUUUGACGGGUAGCCGGCCUGAGAGGGUGACCGGCCACAUUGGGACUGAGAUACGGCCCAGACUCCUACGGGAGGCAGCAGUGGGGAAUAUUGCACAAUGGGCGGAAGCCCGAUGCAGCAACGCCGCGUGCGGGAUGACGGCCUUCGGGUUGUAAACCGCUUUCGCCUGUGACGAAGCGUGAGUGACGGUAAUGGGUAAAGAAGCACCGGCUAACUACGUG
Molecule: ribosomal RNA, 468 nt
Filed under: uncultured bacterium
Lineage: Bacteria
Description: partial 16S ribosomal RNA
Rfam family: Bacterial small subunit ribosomal RNA
Source: RNAcentral